UACGGGGGGAGCAAGCGUUGUUCGGAUUUACUGGGCGUAAAGGGCGCGUAGGCGGUCAGCACAAGUCAGUUGUGAAAUCUCCGGGCUUAACCCGGAAAGGUCAGCCGAUACUGCGGGGCUAGAGUGCAGAAGGGGCAACUGGAAUUCUCGGUGUAGCGGUGAAAUGCGUAGAUAUCGAGAGGAACACCUGCGGCGAAGGCGGGUUGCUGGGCUGACACUGACGCUGAGGCGCGAAAGCUAGGGGAGCGAACGGG
RNAcentral lists this ribosomal RNA (254 nucleotides) under uncultured bacterium. RNAcentral describes it as "partial 16S ribosomal RNA". It matches the Rfam family "Bacterial small subunit ribosomal RNA", at positions 524 to 776 of the family's 1533-position model. The record is from RNAcentral.